AUGGAGGACGCCGUCGACGCUUUCAUCGUGCGCAUGGUGGAGGACGGCCAUGACGACGGCUCCACCAACAUGAAGAACAAAGUCAAGAAGUUCCUCAAAAGGGCCACCAAACUGCUUACCAAGGGUAAGGCUCUUCAUCAGAUCUCUGGUGAAAUUGAAGAAGCUCAGCGGCUCGCCAAGGAGUUGGGCGACCUGCGCCAAAGGUAUAUGAUUGACGCGCAAGACAAGGGUACUGGCGAUGCCAUUGACCCUCGCCUGAAGGCGGUGUACAAAGAUGUUACAGAGCUUGUUGGGAUAGAUCACCUAAGGGAUGAGUUGAUCAAGAAGCUGUGUGAUUGCAAUGAGAGGUCCAAGGACCGCUUAAGGACCAUGUCUAUUGUUGGAUUUGGCGGACUGGGCAAGACAACUCUGGCCAAAGCAAUGUAUGACAAGAUCAAAGCGCAGUUUGAUAGUGUAGCAUUUGUUUCCGUGUCUCGGAAUCCUGACAUGGCCAAGGUUUUCAAGAAGGUCUUAUAUGAACUUGAUAAGAGCAAGUAUGCAACCAUCAACGAAGCUGCUAGGGACAAUGAACAACUCAUCGAUGAACUGAAAUUGUUUCUUCAGGACAAGAGGUACCUAAUUGUAAUCGAUGACAUAUGGGAUGAAAAAGCAUGGGAACUUAUUAAGUGUGCUUUCUCUGACAACUGCCUUGGUAGUCGAGUAAUGACUACCACCCGCAUAGGCAGUAUCUCUAAAGCAUGUUGCUCUUCUGGUGAUGAUAUAAUAUAUCAGAUGAAACCACUUACUGAUGAUAACUCCAAAAGACUCUUUUACAAAAGAAUAUUUCCUGAAGGAAGUGUGUGUCCUGCUGAAUUGGAGCGAGUAUCUAAGGAAAUCUUAAAAAAAUGUGGUGGAGUACCAUUAGCCAUCAUUACUAUUGCUAGUAUUUUAGCUAGUAAUGGUCAAGAUCAACAGGUGAAGCCAAAGUAUCAGUGGGACACCAUACUUGGCUCUAUUGGUCGUGGAUUUGGAGAAGGUGGUAGUGCGAAGGACAUGCAGAGAAUAUUGUCCUUUAGUUAUUACGAUUUACCUUCUCAUUUGAAGGCUUGUUUAUUAUACCUCAGCAUAUUUCCAGAGGACUUUGUGAUAAGGAGAGACCGUUUGAUACGGUUGUGGAUAGCCGAAGGCCUUGUGCAAUGUGGAGAACAGGAAACUGGACUAUUUGAGCUCGGAGAGAGUUACAUCAAUGAGCUCUCAAAUCGAAACUUGAUUCAACCAGUAAAUGUUGAUCAUGCAGGCAAGGCUGAAACUUGUCGCGUGCAUGAUAUGUUGCUUGAUCUGUUGUGUUACCUGUCCAGUGAACAAAACUUUGCUACAAUAUUAGAUGGUACACAGCAAAGCAAAUCUAUUUCACACAGCCAGAGUCGGAGAUUAUCUUUUCAAAAUAGCAUGUCAGAGCCCAGCACCAAUCUGGUCGAUGCCACAAGUAUGCCACAACUGAGGUCUGUUGUUCUCUUUAAAGCAGAUAUUGAUCUAAUCCAGACUAUUUCAUGCUUUCAAGUUUUACGUGUAUUGGAUUUAGAAGGUUGUGAUCUUGGGAGAAACCGCCACGAUGUUGAUCUCAGGUAUAUUAAGAAUUUAUUACACCUAAGGUAUCUGGGGCUAAGAAGAACUCAUGUUCGUGAGAUCCCUGUGGAAAUAGGAAAACUAAAGUUUUUGGAGACACUCGACUUAGCAGAUAAUGGAUCAAGUGUACCCGUGAUUCCGUCAAGUGUUGUCUGUCUAAAACGUUUGAUGUUCCUAGAUGCAGACGACGCGGUGUUACCCAUUGGGAUCGGGAACCUGAAGUCCUUAGAAGCGCUGACUGGAACAUUGGUGGAUGUGAAAGAGUUUGGGCAACUGGUCGAGCUGAGAGUGCUCUACCUUUACUGGAAUGGGGACGACAAGAGCAUGUGCAAUUCUUUCGUGGUGUCCCUGGGCAAGCUGCAAAAAAUGCAGCGUCUCACAAUUCGUGGUGUAGGGGAUGCAAGGUCUGAUGUCAGCUGGGAUGGUUGGGUGCCCACCCCACUGCUUCGGUACCUUUGGUUUACAGAUUGCGCCAUCGCAUUGCCUAGGUGGGUCAAUUCAUCAUCGUUUCCCCUCCUCUCCUCCAUGAGUAUUUCAGUGGACAGAGUCCGGCCGGAAGUUGACAUUCAAAUCCUCGGGACGCUUCCCGCUCUUCGUUAUCUCUUGUCUAUGGGCCAACAAAGAUCAGCACACUCAUGUUGA
This 2247-nucleotide ribosomal RNA is filed under the name Triticum aestivum (bread wheat). RNAcentral's name for it is "partial small subunit ribosomal RNA". The record is from RNAcentral. Lineage: Eukaryota; Viridiplantae; Streptophyta; Magnoliopsida; Poales; Poaceae.